CCCCUUCCCUGUUCGGCCGCGGCGCCCUAUAUCUGGGCUGUCCGGGAAACCGGACUAUGGGGAUAAACGCGCGCGUAAUAAGCGGAUCGGACCCGGGGGCGGUACCCGGCGGCUCCACCAGAAACCCUUCGUUGGGGGAAACCUGGGGCCGAAACAGGAUCGACGGACGUGUAAAGGCGAUAGCUUUCUCUCGGCAGGACGCCACCGUUAUCGGCUCAAAGCACAUAGUUGCCAACGACAACCGUGCUCCGGUCGCGCUGGCUGCGUAAGCAGUCCGCAAGACCAAUUCUGAAGUCCUUGACCUUAGCCGGUUAAGGCGGGGUUCGCAGGCACCUGGCAACAGAAGCCUGCACU
RNAcentral lists this transfer-messenger RNA (354 nucleotides) under Amaricoccus sp. HAR-UPW-R2A-40. RNAcentral's name for it is "Alphaproteobacteria transfer-messenger RNA". It matches the Rfam family "Alphaproteobacteria transfer-messenger RNA". Rfam says of the family: Bacterial tmRNA, also known as 10Sa RNA or SsrA, is named for its dual tRNA and mRNA-like properties. Its role is to liberate the mRNA from a stalled ribosome. To accomplish this part of the tmRNA is used as a reading frame that ends in a translation stop signal. The record is from Rfam by way of RNAcentral. Lineage: Bacteria; Pseudomonadati; Pseudomonadota; Alphaproteobacteria; Rhodobacterales; Paracoccaceae.